This 468-nucleotide ribosomal RNA is filed under the name uncultured bacterium. RNAcentral's name for it is "partial 16S ribosomal RNA". It matches the Rfam family "Bacterial small subunit ribosomal RNA", at positions 28 to 507 of the family's 1533-position model. The record is from RNAcentral.
GACGAACGCUGGCGGCGUGCUUAACACAUGCAAGUCGAACGGAAAGGCCCUGCUUUUGUGUGGUGCUCGAGUGGCGAACGGGUGAGUAACACGUGAGUAACCUGCCCUUGACUUUGGGAUAACUUCAGGAAACUGGGGCUAAUACCGGAUAGGAGCUCCUGCUGCAUGGUGGGGGUUGGAAAGUUUCGGCGGUUGGGGAUGGACUCGCGGCUUAUCAGCUUGUUGGUGGGGUAGUGGCUUACCAAGGCUUUGACGGGUAGCCGGCCUGGGAGGGUGAACGGCCACAUUGGGCCUGAGAUACGGACCAGACUCCUACGGGAGGCAGCAGUGGAGAAUAUGGCACAAUGGGCGGAAGCCUGAUGCAGAAACGCCGCGUGCGGGAUGACGGCCUUCGGGUUGUAAACCGCUUUAGCCUGUGACGAAGCGUGAGUGACGGUAAUGGGUAAAGAAGCACCGGCUAACUACGUG